AAAAAAUUAAGACUUUAUUGCUCAGAAGCAGCAAAGCUUUAACAACUUAGGCCUGUGUCUUCUCCUCCAUAAGUCUGAUAACGUGACUUGGUUUUCCAGUUAAACACACACAUUUAUAGAUCUUACUACAAUAAAUGCUAUUUGCAGGUGUAAAGUUUUUAUAACCAACCAUAACAAACAUGAAAAUACUUAUUACAAUUAAAAUAUUACCACAUAUUAUAAAUAUUUGAAAAAUAAAAUGCUGACCUCAAGUUAGAAAUUUAUUUAUAACUCAACUUCACUUUAUGCAAUGGAUGGAUACACCAAAAGAUACCUGUGAUCUGAAUCACAUUUGAAAUGUACAGUCUGCUUAAAUUUCUUUGAUAAAAUUAAUAUCUAUCCAUACAUGUG
Molecule: long non-coding RNA, 390 nt
Filed under: Bos taurus (domestic cattle)
Lineage: Eukaryota; Metazoa; Chordata; Mammalia; Artiodactyla; Bovidae
Description: long non-coding RNA NONBTAT000654
Source: RNAcentral